Molecule: ribosomal RNA, 501 nt
Filed under: uncultured bacterium
Lineage: Bacteria
Description: partial 16S ribosomal RNA
Rfam family: Bacterial small subunit ribosomal RNA
Source: RNAcentral
AUUGAACGCUGGCGGCAGGCUUAACACAUGCAAGUCGAGCGGGGGAAGGUAGCUUGCUACCGGACCUAGCGGCGGACGGGUGAGUAAUGCUUAGGAAUCUGCCUAUUAGUGGGGGACAACAUCUCGAAAGGGAUGCUAAUACCGCAUACGUCCUACGGGAGAAAGCAGGGGAUCUUCGGACCUUGCGCUAAUAGAUGAGCCUAAGUCGGAUUAGCUAGUUGGUGGGGUAAAGGCCUACCAAGGCGACGAUCUGUAGCGGGUCUGAGAGGAUGAACCGCCACACUGGGACGGAGACACGGCCCAGACUCCUACGGGAGGCAGCAGUGGGGAAUAUUUGACAAUGGGGGGAACCCUGAUCCAGCCAUGCCGCGUGUGUGAAGAAGGCCUUAUGGUUGUAAAGCACUUUAAGCGAGGAGGAGGCUCUUUUGGUUAAUACCCAAGAUGAGUGGACGUUACUCGCAGAAUAAGCACCGGCUAACUCUGUGCCAGCCGCCGCCGUAA